RNAcentral lists this transfer RNA (75 nucleotides) under Microbacterium phage Appa. RNAcentral's name for it is "tRNA-Gly". It matches the Rfam family "tRNA". From Rfam's summary of the family: Transfer RNA (tRNA) molecules are approximately 80 nucleotides in length. Their secondary structure includes four short double-helical elements and three loops (D, anti-codon, and T loops). The record is from RNAcentral. RNAcentral also lists the same sequence under 9 other names. Lineage: Duplodnaviria; Heunggongvirae; Uroviricota; Caudoviricetes.
GCGCGAGAGGGCUUAGUGGUAAGCCGCCCGGUUCCCAACCAGGUAGUGCGGGUUCGAUCCCCGCAUCGCGCUCCA